UUACUCUUGUGUAACCAGGUGUAAGAAACACUGUUAAUUUAGUACCAUAAAAGAAGAGAGACUGUUUACUUUAAUUAUCUUAUUUAUUUUGAAUGCACCGCUCAACUCGCAUGGUCCCACGUAGGGUACCUAGUUCUCAGCAGCCAAUCAGAAGCUACGCAGGCCACGCUCAGCCUGUCGGCUCGGAGAGCAACGCGACUGCAGUCGCGUUGCUCUUCCAGUCUUUUCGGAUCUCAGCCAGAGAAGCGAGGGCAGCUGUGUGUUAAGGAGAAGAGGAAAACCAGAGAAAAAACCCAGAGUGAAACCUGUGAAAAAGGAAAAAGAGUCGGAGCACUUACCCAGUGGAGGUCCGGAUCCAAGUGGCUGAACGAAGGAGAGUUACGUCGCAGGCUAACUGCUUGCCUGUCCUCCGGAGAGCUGCUACGAGGUUCGGCAUCGGCAUGCUCCACCUUGAUACACAGAGCAACGGUCAGGUUUUUUAGAGGACUGAAGAGUCUGAGGUUCAGGACAACUUCCUGCUGUAAAAGAUGGCGAGCCAACUACCCUGAUUGAAGAUUAGCACCGAGGAGAUAUUCACGUACACACUCAUUCACACAAAUAAUACACUCACAUUACACUAC
Long non-coding RNA from Gadus macrocephalus (Pacific cod), 620 nucleotides. RefSeq lists it as uncharacterized. Lineage: Eukaryota; Metazoa; Chordata; Actinopteri; Gadiformes; Gadidae. The record is from RefSeq and is a predicted model, not a curated record. The transcript has 3 exons.